ACCAGCUCUUCAAGUGGUCGGGAUAAUUAUUGGGCUUAAAGUGUCCGUAGCUGGUAGGGUAAGUUCCUGGUAAAAUUGGGCAGCUUAACUGUCCUUAUGCUAGGAAUACUACUCUCCUAGAGGGCGGGAGAAGUCUGAGGUACUACAGGGGUAGGGGUGAAAUCUUAUAAUCCUUGUAGGACCACCAGUGGCGAAAGCGUCAGACCGGAACGCGCCUGACAGUGAGGGACGAAAGCCAGGGGAGCGAACCGGAUUAGAUACCCGGGUAGUCCUGGCCGUAAACGAUGCGCACUAGGUGAUGGUGCGGCUAUGAGCCGCAUCAGUGUCGUAGGGAAACCGUUAAGUGUGCCGCCUGGGAAGUACGGUCGCAAGGCUUAAACUUAAAGGAAUUGGCGGGGGAGCACCACAAGGGGUGAAGCCUGCGGUUC
This 428-nucleotide ribosomal RNA is filed under the name uncultured archaeon. RNAcentral describes it as "bacterial SSU rRNA". It matches the Rfam family "Archaeal small subunit ribosomal RNA", at positions 475 to 903 of the family's 1478-position model. The record is from RNAcentral.